UGGGCCUCCAAGUUCAAGUGAUUGGGAAAAUAUUAAGUUGUACGUAAAGUUUCUUCGAGUGUUUUACGUUGCAAUUUUGAAAUUUUCGGAUUCUUUGUACGACACUUGCAAUGUUUUUUUUGAUGAAAUGGUGUGGAUUCAACAAGACAUUAUAAAGUUGUGUGAAAAUGAAGAUAGUGAUUUGUAUGAAGUGGCAAAGAGUAUGCGUACGAAGUUUGACAAGUAUUGGGGAGAUUUUGAUAAGAUUAAUCAAAUGAUGAUGUUUGUGGUUGUUUGAUCCUCGAUACAAAGUUGCAUUUUUUGAGUAUUGCUUGCAAAAUACCUUGGGCUAUGAUAAGGCAAUAGUUGGUGUGUUCAUAGAUAAGUUAAAAAGUGAAAUUACCCGUUUAUUUGGAUGAUAUGUGAAGCAUAAUAGUAGCUUGAAUGUGCGUAACAAAGAGGUUGGGGGAUCAUCGGACACCGUAGAUUUGGAUGGCUUGAAACAGACAUUGGUAAUCAUAAAUCUUUAAAAUCUCAAUUUAAGAUGUACAAACAAAAGGAGGGCAACAUGGCAAGCAAAACGAAAUUGGAAAAGUAUCAUACGGAAACUAGUGAGGAUGAUUGUGACAACUUUGAUGUACUUCGUUGGUGAAAGUUAAACUCUUCGAAGUAUCCAAUUGUCUCUCAAAUGGCACAAGAUGUGCUAGCAAUUCCCGUGUCCACGGUUGCCUCCAAAUCCGCUUUUAGCACGGGGGGAUGUGUCAUUGAUCCUUAUCAAAGUUCUCUCUCUCCAAAGACCGUGGAAGCACUAAUUUGCACACAACAAUGGAUUAGGAAACCAACCAAGAUCAAUAUAAGAGAACAACUUGAUGAAUUGGAUGCAUUAGAUUCGGUUGUCUUGGAAUCAAGUGAUAAGGACUAAACGGUUGGUGCUUUGGUUGAAGAGUUUUAUCAUGGGUACACAAAUGGUAUGGCUUGAUGUGUUGAGGUGGUGAUGGCGAAAUGUUUUGAAUUGGUGAUGUUUUGGUAGUA
This is a long non-coding RNA of Rhododendron vialii, 1011 nucleotides long. RefSeq lists it as uncharacterized. The record is from RefSeq and is a predicted model, not a curated record. NCBI's taxonomy places the organism in Eukaryota, Viridiplantae, Streptophyta, Magnoliopsida, Ericales, Ericaceae. The transcript has 3 exons.